AUGAAGUAUUAAAGGUAUCGCCUGCCCAGUGAAUAUUUAAACGGCCGCGGGAUCCUCACCGUGCAAAGGUAGCAUAAUCACUUGUCCCCUAAAUAGUGACUAGUAUGAAUGGCCAAAUGAAGAUUCUACUGUCUCUUAUAGCUGAUCUAUGAAACUAAUCUACCAGUACAAAACCUGGUAUAUCAUCAUAAGACGAAAAGACCCUGUGGAACUUAAAGCAUAAACCAAUACAAUGGACCCCUGCUUUUAGUUGGGGCAACUUUGGAAACAAACAGAACUUCCAAUCACCUAUAAAGAUAAACAUAUCAAAAUAAUUACUUUCAGACCCAGCCCAAGCUGAUCAAAGAACCAAGCUACCCCAGGGAUAACAGCGCCAUCCCCUCCUAGAGCCCAAAUCGACGAGCGGGGUUUACGACCUCGAUGUUGGAUCAGGGCCCCCAAACAGUGCAACAGCUGUUAACGGUUUGUUUGUUCAACAAUUAAAGCCCUACGUGA
Molecule: ribosomal RNA, 495 nt
Filed under: Anadia rhombifera
Lineage: Eukaryota; Metazoa; Chordata; Lepidosauria; Squamata; Gymnophthalmidae
Description: partial 16S ribosomal RNA
Rfam family: Bacterial large subunit ribosomal RNA
Source: RNAcentral